UACGAAGGGUGCAAACGUUGCUCGGAGUUAUUGGGCGUAAAGCGCACGUAGGCGGCUUUGCAAGUCGGAUGUGAAAUCCCUCGGCUUAACCAAGGAAGUGCAUCCGAAACUGCAGAGCUUGAGUACUUAAGAGGAUCGCGGAAUUCCCGGUGUAGAGGUGAAAUUCGUAGAUAUCGGGAGGAACACCAGUGGCGAAGGCGGCGAUCUGGGAAGAUACUGACGCUGAGGUGCGAAAGCGUGGGGAGCAAACAGG
This 253-nucleotide ribosomal RNA is filed under the name uncultured bacterium. Its description in RNAcentral is "partial 16S ribosomal RNA". It matches the Rfam family "Bacterial small subunit ribosomal RNA", at positions 524 to 776 of the family's 1533-position model. The record is from RNAcentral.